GCUUGUCUCAAAGAUUAAGCCAUGCAUGUCUAAGUAUAAACAACUUUAUACUGUAAAACUGCGAACGGCUCAUUAUAUCAGCAAUAAUUUAUUUGAUGGUUUCUUACCCCAUGGAUAACUGUGGUAAUUCUAGAGCUAAUACAUGCAUCAACCCCCGACUUUUGAAGGGGUGUAUUUAUUAGAUUGAAACCAAUGCGGGUUCGCCCGGUAUUUGGUGAUUCAUAAUAACUUUCGGAUCGACUUCGGUCGAUGCAUCAUUCAAGUUUCUGCCCUAUCAGCUUUGGAUGGUAGGGUAUUGGCCUACCAUGGCUUUAACGGGUAACGGAGAAUUAGGGUUCGAUUCCGGAGAGGGAGCCUGAGAAAUGGCUACCACAUCCAAGGAAGGCAGCAGG
RNAcentral lists this ribosomal RNA (392 nucleotides) under uncultured Chrysophyceae. RNAcentral's name for it is "partial small subunit ribosomal RNA". It matches the Rfam family "Eukaryotic small subunit ribosomal RNA", at positions 30 to 432 of the family's 1831-position model. Lineage: Eukaryota; Chrysophyceae. The record is from RNAcentral.